UUGCUUUUGUGAAAUUGGCGCAAACCAUUUUAUUUUAUUUUAGUGAAUGAAGCGUACUUUUGUUGGAAGCACCAAAAUGAGAGGCUUUAUUUUUCACCAUUUGUUUUGCUUCAUGUGCAUUAUUUAUUUCGUAACACCAUUUUCUUUUUAUCCUUAACAAACCAAGAAAAAGCGGCAUUAUUUACAACCAGUGUUAUGAUCAACUGUGACAGUAAGACGGUAAAAUGAACGCAGACCACCACAACCACAGUUUGUAGACAUAUUUAUUUACGUGCGGCGAAUGUGUGGUGACGAAUUUGAAUGCAUUUCGACUGCAUUUUGUUUUUGCUGCAGCUGAUGGUUGUGUUGUUGAUUUUAACAACCUUCUCCAGUUUAUGAUCCAUUUGCAUUGAAAGAAACCAUUUAUGCUUUCAACGGAGGAUGUGUUGUUUUUGUUUGGCCUUUGAUUUGUGCUAUUGAAAGCCGGACCAUUUCGCAAUGCAUCGCCGCAUGCCUGCUCGACGUUUCAUUCCAAAAGGACAUAGUUUUCAACUGAAUGUAAGAAAUCAAGAAACGAUGAAGAGGAAGAGUGAAUGUUUGUGGAUUCCGUAGCAGACUUUUACGGAUUCAUUUGUGGAUAAUUGUUUCGGUAGACAAUGUUGCAUGUUGCUAUAUAGAAUGAUGCACCUACGAGUUGAGCUACUGCAUCUGCAGGUUUAAAUCUUCCCUAGAAAACAAUGUUCGACCAACAUCGAGUGUUACAAUAAAUAUGCAUAGUAUUUACCAGAAAGAACAGGAAGUAAUGAAUUCAUGGAUUUGUUUGCAAAAAAAAGAAAGUUUAUGUUUGUUAAAAUUAGAGUUAUGAAAUUGUUCUGUGUAAUGUCAGCAUGGAAUUUCGAUUUUGUGAAUUAAAAAUAAUUAUUUGCUUUCUGAAAUUUCUAACUAGCAAAUAUGAAUAAAUAUUAAGUUGCUUAUGAAUGUAUUAGGUAAUGUAGUAUUUUUACUAAGGGGGAAGGAGUUGUAGUGGCUCGGUAACAUAGCCGAACCCUCUGGAAGGGUUCUCAGUGUAGACUGAGUGUACUGUAUGAGAUAGGAUCUAAUGAUGUACUGAAUAAAGCUGAAGUUGUUUUCUGACUAUGAACUGAAA
This is a long non-coding RNA of Armigeres subalbatus, 1126 nucleotides long. RefSeq lists it as uncharacterized. The record is from RefSeq and is a predicted model, not a curated record. NCBI's taxonomy places the organism in Eukaryota, Metazoa, Arthropoda, Insecta, Diptera, Culicidae. The transcript is spliced from 2 exons.